Molecule: ribosomal RNA, 421 nt
Filed under: uncultured bacterium
Lineage: Bacteria
Description: bacterial SSU rRNA
Rfam family: Bacterial small subunit ribosomal RNA
Source: RNAcentral
UAAGGAAUAUUGGUCAAUGGACGCAAGUCUGAACCAGCCAUGCCGCGUGAAGGAUGAAGGUCCUCUGGAUUGUAAACUUCUCUUAUCUGGGACGAAAACGGGAUUUUUAUCUCAAUUGACGGUACCAGAGGAAUAAGCACCGGCUAACUCCGUGCCAGCAGCCGCGGUAAUACGGAGGGUGCGAGCGUUAUCCGGAUUUACUGGGUUUAAAGGGUGCGUAGGUGGGUAUGUAAGUCAGUGGUGAAAUCCCCGAGCUUAACUUGGGAACUGCCAUUGAUACUAUAUAUCUUGAAUACCGUAGAGGUAAGCGGAAUAUGUCAUGUAGCGGUGAAAUGCUUAGGUAUGACAUGGAACACCAAUUGCGAAGGCAGCUUACUAUGCGGUGAUUGACACUGAGGCACGAAAGCGUGGGUAGCAAACA